GUGAACGUAGCUCAAGUGGUUAGAGCACCAGGCUGUGGACCUGGGGGUUGGGGGUUCGAGUCCCCUCGUUCACCCCA
Molecule: transfer RNA, 77 nt
Filed under: Pseudomonadota bacterium
Lineage: Bacteria; Pseudomonadati; Pseudomonadota
Also listed under: 2 other names
Description: tRNA-His
Rfam family: tRNA
About the family: Transfer RNA (tRNA) molecules are approximately 80 nucleotides in length. Their secondary structure includes four short double-helical elements and three loops (D, anti-codon, and T loops).
Source: RNAcentral